UGGAAUUGUAAAUUAAAAUAAUAAAAUUUCACAUAAGCAACAUAAUUCCUAGAUAGAUAUGUUCACAUAAGCUAUAUGAUUUUCUUGUUUCCUGCAUAUUCUAUUUUGUCCAGGAUUUAAAAUUGGGCUCCUAGCUAGAAUCGACUUACUAGUGUUAUUUUAAAACCUGAAAGCUCUGUUGAUUCAAGACGGGGGACUGAUUGAUUUCUUGUCUUAACAAUGGUUGACAAUGAAGUUGUUUGAGUUAUGGCAUCACAAGUAAAAUAAUAUUGAAAUGUGUGGAAAGUAUGGUAAAUUCGUAGGGCA
RNAcentral lists this unclassified non-coding RNA (306 nucleotides) under Hevea brasiliensis (rubber tree). Lineage: Eukaryota; Viridiplantae; Streptophyta; Magnoliopsida; Malpighiales; Euphorbiaceae. The record is from RNAcentral.